Molecule: long non-coding RNA, 1948 nt
Filed under: Dromaius novaehollandiae (emu)
Lineage: Eukaryota; Metazoa; Chordata; Aves; Casuariiformes; Dromaiidae
Description: lncRNA (ENSDNVG00000009645.1)
Source: RNAcentral
CGGGGACGUCUGACUCACCCCAUCAGCUGAUGCCAUGUGCUGAAAAACACCACCCUUCAUCCAAUGUUUUUAUCAGGCCUGGAAGACCUUUGCGCUUGGGCUGGGUGCGGUGUGUUUACAUUUCCCUGUUUAUCCAAGGUAACAGAGAAGGCCACGAGGGGAGCAGGGAGUGGUAAAGCCAGUUUCAGUGCUUUACGGUCUCGGCCCUCAGCCCUCAGGCAGGGUCUACCUAUUUAAAGGGUGCUGGAGGGCUGGUCUUACCAUCCCAAGGAGAGCCGUGCCGAGGACAGCAAUCGGGGCUGCUGCUGGAAGAGGUGCGGAUCCUCUCUGCUCGCCAAAGCGGAGCUUGGAGGCRGCAGGAGGAUGUGGAACCCCAACCAAGGAACACCUGGAGGGGUGCCACCACCACAAGCCCCUGCAACCUAUCCUGGCUACCCUCCAGCACCAUCUGCCCCCCCUGCGGCUCAUCCCAUGGGACCCCCGGGUGGCUACCCCUGUGGUCCCCCUCCGCCUGGCCCCCACCCACCAGGGCCUCACCCCCAUGGGCACCACCCACCAGGGCAUCACCACCACGGGCACCACCCACCAGGGCAUCACCACCAUGGGCCCCACCCACCAUGCCCACCUGACUGCCAUCAGAAGCAUCAUAAGAAGCACAAGAAGAAACACUCGAAGUCCAGCCAUAAGCACCAUGGAGGCAAGGUAAGGAGGAAGAGGUCCCGCUCUGAUCUUCUUGUACAAUCCUAUAGUCAUCCCACACAUGCUGUAGCUCUCUAGGCAGGUUUGUCUGGGCUAGAGAUGUUGUGGUGAUGUAUUGAAACAUCAGCCAUGUCAUUUUUUGAAGUCAUUCCAAACAGUAGGACUGACACAGCUCAAUGCACCAGAGGAGCCCUGACACACAUAUCAGAUGUACUGAAUCCCAGGACUUCCUUCUGCUUACCAGUGGGCCAUGCCUUUAUAAGGCUCAGUGUCCUUCAUCACAGAAGCAGUUCARUUCCCUCUUCAGAUUCACUACUGUGGAGCCACUUAUUUCCCAGAGAAUUUCUUUUUCCCUUUUUGUUUUUGAGGAUUUUUAAGUGUACACUUUUCUCCAAAAAAUGUGGUAAUUUCAAUAGUCAUUGAAAGCAUUUCUUUGUUUUCCUUCCUCAGCCUUUGGAGAGUUGGUUUUUGCCUUUCAAAGGCUGGUAAGGAGUUCGCUUAAGAAUUGCCCAUGGACUACUUCUGCGUCGAACACAGAAUGUAAAUGGUGCCAGAUUGUAGCGCUAAAUACUCUUGCUAUAGCGUACAUGAAGUACUCAAGUGUUCGUAGAAUGAGGGCUUCACUGCAAUGGGGAGCUAGCAGAAGGUACACUUCAUGUGCAGCUGUACAGGUUAAAAACAUCUGUAUCUACACAUAUCAUGUCAAGCAUCUAAAGAACAACCUAGUCUUGCACCACAAGACUGACCUGACCCCUUUGUGGCCUCUCCACUGGGACAGAGAGGAAACAUGACGUAAACACCAUGUCCACGUGGAGCGAGAAGAUCCUCCCAAAUGCUUCUGGGAGGCCUGCAGAAAGUGCCCUCUCAGUGACUGGCACCAUCUGGAGGAGGUUUGAUUGAGGGGCUGCUGAACAAAAACCCCAGUUCCACCACCAGACAAGCAUUUUGCAAACAAACCAAACCAUGAACUCCUCUUGGCAUUUGGGUUUGGAAAGUUAUCUGCCUUGACAUUUGCCCUCACUGACAGAAAGCAGAAGUCUUCUGGAAUUUAAUUAGCCCGAACAUCUUUUUUAAAUACCCCCCUUCCCCCCCAMCCCCAGCCCUCCCACUAUGUGCCUGUAAUUAUAUUCUCCAAAUGCUGUGGCAGAAAACACUGUGGUUUUGGUUUCCAACUCUAUAAUKUGGUUGAAAGCCAGGAAACUGUAACAGUAUCAGAAUAAAUGUUGCAUACUGAUUUUAUUAGGAGCCA